RNAcentral lists this ribosomal RNA (432 nucleotides) under uncultured bacterium. Its description in RNAcentral is "partial 16S ribosomal RNA". It matches the Rfam family "Bacterial small subunit ribosomal RNA", at positions 29 to 507 of the family's 1533-position model. The record is from RNAcentral.
ACGAACGCUGGCGGCAUGCCUAACCCCUGCAAGUCGAACGAGACCUUCGGGUCUAGUGGCGCACGGGUGCGUAACGCGUGGGAACCUGCCCUUAGGUUCGGAAUAACUCCCCGCAAGGGGUGCUAAUACCGGAUAAUGUCUUCGGACCAAAGAUUUAUCGCCUUUGGAUGGGCCCGCGUUGGAUUAGCUAGUUGGUAGGGUAAAAGCCUACCAAGGCGACGAUCCAUAGCUGGUCUGAGAGGAUGAUCAGCCACACUGGGACUGAGACACGGCCCAGACUCCUACGGGAGGCAGCAGUGGGGAAUAUUGGACAAUGGGCGAAAGCCUGAUCCAGCAAUGCCGCGUGAGUGAUGAAGGCCUUAGGGUUGUAAAGCUCUUUUACCCGGGAUGAUAAUGACAGUACCGGGAGAAUAAGCUCCGGCUAACUCCGUG